This 2902-nucleotide ribosomal RNA is filed under the name Paracoccus isoporae. RNAcentral's name for it is "bacterial LSU rRNA". It matches the Rfam family "Bacterial large subunit ribosomal RNA". The record is from RNAcentral. Lineage: Bacteria; Pseudomonadati; Pseudomonadota; Alphaproteobacteria; Rhodobacterales; Paracoccaceae.
AAAUCAAGCGCGAUAAGGGCGUUUGGUGGAUGCCUAGGCAGCAAGAGGCGAUGAAGGACGUGAUACUCUGCGAUAAGCCAUGGGGAGCCGAGAAUAGGCUUUGAUCCAUGGAUUUCCGAAUGGGGCAACCCACCUGAAUGUUGGUUAUUGUCUGACGCAAGUCAGUCAAUAAUCGGCAUAACCAGGUAUUUAAGACCUGAAUAUAUAGGGUUUUAAAAGCGAACCCGGGGAACUGAAACAUCUAAGUACCCGGAGGAAAGGACAUCAACAGAUACUCCCCCAGUAGCGGCGAGCGAACGGGGACCAGCCGAGCCAUGAGAAUGACCGGAAUGAUCUGGAAAGAUCAGCCAGAGCGGGUGACAGCCCCGUAUGGGAAGUUCGAUUGGACGUAUUAAGUAGGGCGGGACACGUGAAAUCCUGUCCGAAGAUCGGGGGACCACCCUCGAAGGCUAAGUACUCCUUGCUGACCGAUAGCGAACCAGUACCGUGAGGGAAAGGUGAAAAGCACCCCGACGAGGGGAGUGAAACAGUUUCUGAAACCGGACGCCUACAAGCAGUCGGAGCCCAGCCUCCAAAUCAAUCGGAAAAGACGGCGAUGUUCUAUGUUUACGUUUUGAAAAGCAGAGGAUUGAUUUGGUGGCUGGGUGACGGCGUACCUUUUGUAUAAUGGGUCAACGACUUGGUCUGUCUGGCAAGCUUAAGCCGUUAGGUGGAGGCGCAGCGAAAGCGAGUGUUAAAUGCGCGACUGAGUCAGACGGAUCAGACCCGAAACCGAGUGAUCUAGCCAUGUGCAGGAUGAAGGUUGGGUAACACCAACUGGAGGUCCGAACCCACACCUGUUGAAAAAGGUCGGGAUGACGUGUGGCUAGGGGUGAAAGGCCAAUCAAACUCGGAGAUAGCUGGUUCUCCGCGAAAGCUAUUUAGGUAGCGCCUCGGACGUAUCCUCUCGGGGGUAGAGCACUGCAUGGAUGAUGGGGGCCCACAGCCUUACUGAGUCUAAGCAAACUCCGAAUACCGAGAAGGACUAUCCGGGAGACACACGGCGGGUGCUAACGUCCGUCGUGGAGAGGGAAACAACCCUGACCAACAGCUAAGGCCCCCAAUUCGUGGCUAAGUGGGAAAGCAUGUGAGACUUCCAAAACAACCAGGAGGUUGGCUUAGAAGCAGCCAUCCUUUAAAGAUAGCGUAACAGCUCACUGGUCUAAUCAAGAGGUCUUGCGGCGAAGAUGUAACGGGGCUCAAGCCACGAGCCGAAGCUUUGGGUGCACGCAAGUGCGCGGUAGCGGAGCGUUCUGUGAUAGAGAACGCUGCCUCUUUUGCCUGUUCGCAGGCAACGGAGGCAUUGUUCUGACUGUGAAGCCGGGCCGUAAGGCAGCCGGUGGAGUGAUCAGAAGUGAGAAUGUUGACAUGAGUAGCGACAAACAGGGUGAGAGACCCUGUCGCCGAAAGUCCAAGGGUUCCUGCUUAAAGCUAAUCUGAGCAGGGUAAGCCGGCCCCUAAGGCGAGGCCGAAAGGCGUAGUCGAUGGGAACCAGGUUAAUAUUCCUGGGCCAGGAGAUGGUGACGGAUUGCGAAGGUUGUUCGAUCUUAUCGGAUUGAUCGGGCCGCUGAGCAGUUCCUGGAAACAGCCCUCCAUGAGACCGUACCCGAAACCGACACAGGUGGACUGGUAGAGAAUACCAAGGCGCUUGAGAGAACCACAUUUAAGGAACUCGGCAAAAUACCUCCGUAAGUUCGCGAGAAGGAGGCCCGGUUUGCAGGCAACUGCGGGCCGGGGGCACAAACCAGGGGGUGGCGACUGUUUACUAAAAACACAGGGCUCUGCGAAGCCGCAAGGCGACGUAUAGGGUCUGACGCCUGCCCGGUGCCGGAAGGUUAAAAGGAGAAGUGCAAGCUUUGAAUUGAAGCCCCGGUAAACGGCGGCCGUAACUAUAACGGUCCUAAGGUAGCGAAAUUCCUUGUCGGGUAAGUUCCGACCUGCACGAAUGGCGUAACGACUUCCCCGCUGUCUCAAAUGUGGACUCAGCGAAAUUGAAUUGUCUGUGAAGAUGCAGACUUCCCGCGGUUAGACGGAAAGACCCCAUGCACCUUUACUAUAGCUUCGCACUGGCAUCAGGACUGCGAUGUGCAGGAUAGGCGGUAGGCUUUGAACCGGGGACGCCAGUCUCCGGGGAGCCAUCCUUGAGAUACCGCCCUUCGCACUCUUGAUGUCUAACCGCGGCCCGUUAUCCGGGUCCGGGACCCUGCGUGGUGGGUAGUUUGACUGGGGCGGUCGCCUCCCAAAGAGUAACGGAGGCGCGCGAAGGUUGGCUCAGAGCGGUCGGAAAUCGCUCGUUGAGUGCAAUGGCAGAAGCCAGCCUGACUGCAAGACUGACAAGUCGAGCAGAGUCGAAAGACGGCCAUAGUGAUCCGGUGGUCCCGAGUGGAAGGGCCAUCGCUCAACGGAUAAAAGGUACGCUGGGGAUAACAGGCUGAUGAUGCCCAAGAGUCCAUAUCGACGGCAUCGUUUGGCACCUCGAUGUCGGCUCAUCUCAUCCUGGGGCUGGAGCAGGUCCCAAGGGUACGGCUGUUCGCCGUUUAAAGAGGUACGUGAGCUGGGUUUAGAACGUCGUGAGACAGUUCGGUCCCUAUCUGCCGUGGGUGUAGGAUACUUGAGAGGAGUUGCCCCUAGUACGAGAGGACCGGGGUGAACGUUCCACUGGUGGACCAGUUGUCGUGCCAACGGCAGUGCUGGGUAGCUAUGAACGGACAGGAUAAACGCUGAAGGCAUCUAAGCGUGAAGCCCCCCUCAAAACCAGGUAUCCCUUGAGAGCCGUGGAAGACCACCACGUCGAUAGGCCGGAGAUGUAAGCGCAGCAAUGCGUUCAGUUGACCGGUACUAAUGGCUCGACAGGCUUGAUUUG